Molecule: unclassified non-coding RNA, 504 nt
Filed under: Zea mays
Lineage: Eukaryota; Viridiplantae; Streptophyta; Magnoliopsida; Poales; Poaceae
Description: misc RNA Zm00001eb309550
Source: RNAcentral
UGUUGUUGAUGGCCUGGGGUUUUUCUAUAUACCCCACGUCCCAGCAACUAAGCAAAAGGAAGAUAACAGAACUGUGACGAUCAAAGUGACUGGUGGCACUCUCUCUAUACUGCAGGUGACUUCUGAACAAUCUAGACUUGUGUCUAAUUCUUGGGCUUGGGAAGUUGAGGCAACUGGUGCUAAUGAGUUCAAAGUCCAAUUUCCAUCCCAAGUGGAGUUGGACAGAUUGAUAGAAUGGGGUGUGGUGCAAACUAAAUUUAAUGCUUCUAUGCAAGUGGAGAAAAUAAUUCAUGAUAAGCAUAUUAAGGCAGUCCUACCAAAUGUUUGGGUACAGUUUACAGGCAUUCCAAAGGAAUUGAGAACUUUUAUGAUUAUUUGGGCAGUAGGAUCUAUGCUGGGGAUCACGAAGGCAGUCGAUAUGACUUUUACCAAUAAGUAUGAAAUCUGCAGGUUGCAAUGCAGAGUGCUGGACCCUUACCUCAUUCCUCGUUUUGUUGAUGUGGU